GGGAAUAAGAGAAAGAAAAGCGAGAGAUGCAGAAUGCCUUCCUUCGUAAAGUUAAAAAUACGACAGAGACAUCCAUAAAAAUAGACAAGACACACCCAAAAAUGGCGACAAAGUCGACCCACAAUCUGUCCCUAACUCUGUGCUUUGCAUUUCACUGACAUAAGGUAACUAGAAGUUCUUCUCUGAACGCAGAAGUAUUACAACAGAAGAAACAAGAACCCAUCCUCGAGAAAGAGAGGCGGUCACCAGUAGUAGAGUUGCAGAGUCGAAUCGUACAUUUACAGAGACACCUGAGGACUACCCUUGCUCGGCAGCGAGCACCCGCUGAUCUUGAGCAGCGGGGCAGAGGCCGGCACCUCUGCGACGCGGCUUCUCUUCCUUCCGAGCCCUGCUGCCGAUGCUAUUCCGGCCACUUUCUUCACAACCAUCCCGACGAUCCUGACUUUGACCUGCCCUCUCUUGGGAGGCAGCCUCGCCUCCGAAUUCUCACUCGAGGCCUUCUUCGUGGCGCCUGGAUUCGACAUUUUAUGGGUCACCCUCUCUCCGCAACAGAGUAAUCUCGUCGGGGUUAUCAGAGAUGAGCAAGCAGAGAGAGGUAAGAGAGAGCAGAGGAAGAGGAGGUGCGGUCGCCUG
RNAcentral lists this long non-coding RNA (633 nucleotides) under Eucalyptus grandis. RNAcentral describes it as "long non-coding RNA (EGRA_LNC004435)". Lineage: Eukaryota; Viridiplantae; Streptophyta; Magnoliopsida; Myrtales; Myrtaceae. The record is from RNAcentral.